Molecule: ribosomal RNA, 253 nt
Filed under: uncultured bacterium
Lineage: Bacteria
Also listed under: 1 other name
Description: partial 16S ribosomal RNA
Rfam family: Bacterial small subunit ribosomal RNA
Source: RNAcentral
GACGGAGGGUGCAAGCGUUGUUCGGAAUCACUGGGCGUAAAGCGCGUGUAGGCGGCUUGACAAGUCGAAUGUGAAAGCCCGGGGCUCAACCUCGGAAGUGCAUUCGAAACUGUCAGGCUUGAGUACGGGAGAGGGAAGUGGAAUUCCUGGUGUAGAGGUGAAAUUCGUAGAUAUCAGGAGGAACACCGGUGGCGAAGGCGGCUUCCUGGACCGAUACUGACGCUGAGACGCGAAAGCGUGGGGAGCAAACAGG